Molecule: long non-coding RNA, 960 nt
Filed under: Arachis ipaensis
Lineage: Eukaryota; Viridiplantae; Streptophyta; Magnoliopsida; Fabales; Fabaceae
Description: long non-coding RNA (AIPA_LNC000713)
Source: RNAcentral
AGAAAUUCAAUUGCUACAUCGGGGCUCCGACCCGACUCCCAGAAAUUCUUCAAGCUCUCCAGCGCACCUUCCCUAACCACCGAAAGCUUCAAGCUUUGGUCCUCAGAGACUAAACCACAGAGGCAGGCGAUGGCAUUCUCUUGCGCCAACGCAGUUCCGGAAGAAGCGAGACCCAAGAGGACGAAAACAGCGUUUUCUUCUACGAGAUUCUCCUUGAUCUCGGCGAAGCGCGAUAAAUUCCUGAGAACGCCGGCGGCGGAGGCUUGAGAACCGGGAGUGCCAGCUUGGCAGAUCUCCAAGAGCGACGAGAUUCCGCCGCGUGAGCCUAUGGCCCUGGCGUUCUCCUUCGAGUAACUCAGCGCCUGAAGCGCUAUGCAGGCUUUCUCCUUCGCGAACCCGCUUCCGGAAUCGAGGACCCGGAGGAGAUGGUUGAGGAGAAGCAAGCCCUCGGCAGCGAGGACGGGCUUGCUGGUGUCGACGGUUGAGAUUCUGGCGAUGGCGGCAACGGCUUUUUCCUUGGACUCAGAGGAGGUGGAGUGAUCCAGUGUGCGCACGAGUACCGGGACCACGCCCUGCGCGACGGCGAUGACGACGUUCUUGUCGUCCUGAUGGAGAAGAGAAAGCAGGGAGUCCAUGGCGGAGUUUCGAGAGUCGGGUGAGCCGAUUUGGAGGCGGGUGAUGAGGUUCCUGGAUUGGGAUCUGAGAGAGUCGCGGGGGUUGGUGGAGAGGGCGGCGGCGUUGUCGAUAUGGGUGCGGGAGAGGAUGGUGGAGUCGUAGAGGUGGCGGUUGAGGGUGUCGAGGAGGGAGUAGAGGUCGCUCUGUGUCUUGAGCUUGCCGUGAGGGGGGUUGGGGGAGUGGCAGUGUUGGGCGAGGGAGAGAGCGUGGUGGAGCGUUUGCGAGAGAGAGCGGAGGAGGUCGAGGGAUAGUGGGUUUGAGGCGGGGAAAUCGGAGUCGGAGAGG